UUUCUCCCUGGCUUCUCCGCAGGGCCGCUCACCAUGGCAGCCGGCUCCAUCACCGCCGGCCAGCGAGAGGGCAAGACAAGAGGGCUGACAAGAGGGACGCUACCAUCACAGAGGCUGGUCUCAAACUCCUGACCUGAGGCAAUCCACCCACCACAGCCUCCCAAAGUCCUGGUAUUACAGGCGUGGCUAUUAGCCUCACCAAGUUAAGAUUCCUGAUGCCAACCACUCACCCACUCCAUGUUUUUCAGGAUUAUAAACACUAGUUAUAAAGCUUGAACUGGCUGGGGGUGAGGUGGCUCACACCUGUAAUCCCAGCACUCUGGGAGGCCGAGGCAGUUGGAUCACCUGAGGUCAGGAGUUCAAGACCAGCCUGACCAAUAUGGUGAAACCCCACCUCUAGCUGGGCGUGGUGGUGUGCACCUGUAAUCCCAGCUACUUGGAGACAGGAGAAUCACUUGAACCUGGGAGGUGGAAGUUGCAGUGAGUGCAGAUCAUGCCAUUGUACUCCAGCCUGGGUGACAGAGCAAGACUUGAUCUCAAAAAUAAGCAUUGACAACUGCGGGUCAAAACUGCCCCUGGUUGAGACUCACUGGCUGGAGCCAAAAGGCUGACCUGCCUGCCCAACAGCAGC
This 631-nucleotide non-coding RNA is filed under the name Pongo abelii (Sumatran orangutan). Lineage: Eukaryota; Metazoa; Chordata; Mammalia; Primates; Hominidae. The record is from RNAcentral.